This 96-nucleotide non-coding RNA is filed under the name uncultured Ruminococcus sp. RNAcentral describes it as "SAM riboswitch (S box leader)". It matches the Rfam family "SAM riboswitch aptamer (S box leader)". Rfam says of the family: The SAM riboswitch is found upstream of a number of genes which code for proteins involved in methionine or cysteine biosynthesis in Gram-positive bacteria. The SAM riboswitch acts at the level of transcription termination control. Lineage: Bacteria; Bacillati; Bacillota; Clostridia; Eubacteriales; Oscillospiraceae. The record is from RNAcentral.
UCUUAUCAAGAGUGACUGAGGGAACAGGCCCUGUGAAGUCCGGCAACCUGCACUGUAUGCAAGGUGCCAAAUCCUGCGGUUUUACCGAAAGAUGAG